This 492-nucleotide ribosomal RNA is filed under the name uncultured bacterium. RNAcentral describes it as "partial 16S ribosomal RNA". It matches the Rfam family "Bacterial small subunit ribosomal RNA", at positions 29 to 507 of the family's 1533-position model. The record is from RNAcentral.
AGUGAACGCUGGCGGUAGGCCUAACACAUGCAAGUCGAACGGCAGCACAGUAAGAGCUUGCUCUUACGGGUGGCGAGUGGCGGACGGGUGAGGAAUACAUCGGAAUCUACUUUUUCGUGGGGGCUAACGUAGGGAAACGUACGCUAAUACCGCAUACGACCUACGGGUGAAAGCAGGGGAUCUUCGGACCUUGCGCGAGUGAAUGAGCCGAUGUCGGAUUAGCGAGUUGGCGGGGUAAAGGCCCACCAAGGCGACGAUCCGUAGCUGGUCUGAGAGGAGGAUCAGCCACACUGGAACUGAGACACGGUCCAGACUCCUACGGGAGGCAGCAGUGGUGAAGAUUGGACAAUGGGCGGAAGCCUGCUCCAGCCAUGCCGCGUGGUUGAAGAAGGCCUUCGUGUUGUAAAGCCCUUUUUUUGGGAAAGAAAAGCAGCAGGUUAAUACCCCGCUGGUCUGAUGUUACCCAGAGAAUAAGCACCGGCUAACUUCGUG